Molecule: ribosomal RNA, 512 nt
Filed under: uncultured bacterium
Lineage: Bacteria
Description: partial 16S ribosomal RNA
Rfam family: Bacterial small subunit ribosomal RNA
Source: RNAcentral
GACGAACGCUGGCGGCGUGCCUAAUACAUGCAAGUCGAGCGAAUCUUGAGGUGCUUGCACCUCUUGGUUAGCGGCGGACGGGUGAGUAACACGUGGGCAACCUGCCUGUAAGACUGGGAUAACUUCGGGAAACCGGAGCUAAAACCGGAUAAUCCUUUUUCUCUCAUGAGGAAAAGCUGAAAGUCGGUUUACGCUGACACUUACAGAUGGGCCCGCGGCGCAUUAGCUAGUUGGUGAGGUAACGGCUCACCAAGGCGACGAUGCGUAGCCGACCUGAGAGGGUGAUCGGCCACACUGGGACUGAGACACGGCCCAGACUCCUACGGGAGGCAGCAGUAGGGAAUCUUCCGCAAUGGACGAAAGUCUGACGGAGCAACGCCGCGUGAGCGAUGAAGGCCUUCGGGUCGUAAAGCUCUGUUGUUAGGGAAGAACAAGUAUCGGAGUAACUGCCGGUACCUUGACGGUACCUAACCAGAAAGCCACGGCUAACUACGUGCCAGCAGCCGCGGUAA